UGAGCGGAGAUUAUGGAGCUUGCUUUAUAUAACUUAGCAGCGAACGGGUGAGUAACACGUAGAUAAUCUAUCCUAUACUGGGGGAUAGCCCGAUGAAAGUUGGAUUAAUACCGCAUAUAGCUAUAUAGUUGCAUGAUUAUGUAGUGAAAGAUUUAUUGGUAUAGGAGGAGUCUGCGGCACAUUAGCUAGUAGGUGAGGUAAAGGCUUACCUAGGCGACGAUGUGUAGCCGGUCUGAGAGGAUGAACGGCCACAAUGGAACUGAGACACGGUCCAUACUCCUACGGGAGGCAGCAGUGGGGAAUGUUGCACAAUGGGGGAAACCCUGAUGCAGCAACGCCGCGUGAGUGAAGAAGGUUUUCGGAUUGUAAAGCUCUGUUAGCAGGGAAGAGGAAGGACGGUACCUGCAGAGGAAGCCACGGCUAACUACGUGCCAGCAGCCGCGGUAAUACGUAGGUGGCAAGCGUUGUUCGGAAUAACUGGGCGUAAAGGAUGCGUAGGCGGUUAAACAAGUUAUAUGUUAAAUAUAUAGGCUUAACCUGUAGAAAGCAUAUAAAACUGUUUAACUAGAGUGCAGGAGAGGUAAGUGGAAUUCCUAGUGUAGCGGUGAAAUGCGUAGAGAUUAGGAAGAACACCAGUGGCGAAGGCGACUUACUGGACUGUAACUGACGCUGAGGCAUGAGAGCAUGGGGAGCAAACAGGAUUAGAUACCCUGGUAGUCCAUGCUGUAAACGAUGGGUACUAGGUGUGGGUUGUGAAUAACAAUUCGUGCCGUCGCAAACGCAAUAAGUACCCCGCCUG
Molecule: ribosomal RNA, 799 nt
Filed under: uncultured bacterium
Lineage: Bacteria
Description: bacterial SSU rRNA
Rfam family: Bacterial small subunit ribosomal RNA
Source: RNAcentral